AUUGAACGCUGGCGGCAGGCCUAACACAUGCAAGUCGAGCGGAUGAAGGGAGCUUGCUCCUGGAUUCAGCGGCGGACGGGUGAGUAAUGCCUAGGAAUCUGCCUGGUAGUGGGGGAUAACGUCCGGAAACGGGCGCUAAUACCGCAUACGUCCUGAGGGAGAAAGUGGGGGAUCUUCGGACCUCACGCUAUCAGAUGAGCCUAGGUCGGAUUAGCUAGUUGGUGGGGUAAAGGCCUACCAAGGCGACGAUCCGUAACUGGUCUGAGAGGAUGAUCAGUCACACUGGAACUGAGACACGGUCCAUACUCCUACGGGAGGCAGCAGUGGGGAAUAUUGGACAAUGGGCGAAAGCCUGAUCCAGCCAUGCCGCGUGUGUGAAGAAGGUCUUCGGAUUGUAAAGCACUUUAAGUUGGGAGGAAGGGCAGUAAGUUAAUACCUUGCUGUUUUGACGUUACCAACAGAAUGAGCACCGGCUAACUUCGUG
Molecule: ribosomal RNA, 484 nt
Filed under: uncultured bacterium
Lineage: Bacteria
Description: partial 16S ribosomal RNA
Rfam family: Bacterial small subunit ribosomal RNA
Source: RNAcentral